GAAGCUGGAAUUGCUAGUAAUGGCAGGUCAGCAUACUGCCGUGAAUACGUUCCCGGGCCUUGUACACACCGCCCGUCACACCAUGAGAGUUGGGAAUACCCGAAGCCUGUGAGCUAACAUUUAUGAGGCAGCAGUCGAAGGUAGAAUCAAUGAUUGGGGUGAAGUCGUAACAAGGUAGC
Molecule: ribosomal RNA, 179 nt
Filed under: uncultured bacterium
Lineage: Bacteria
Description: partial 16S ribosomal RNA
Rfam family: Bacterial small subunit ribosomal RNA
Source: RNAcentral